RNAcentral lists this ribosomal RNA (253 nucleotides) under uncultured bacterium. Its description in RNAcentral is "partial 16S ribosomal RNA". It matches the Rfam family "Bacterial small subunit ribosomal RNA", at positions 524 to 776 of the family's 1533-position model. The record is from RNAcentral.
UACGGGGGGGGCAAGCGUUGUUCGGAAUUACUGGGCGUAAAGGGCUCGUAGGUGGCCAACUAAGUCAGACGUGAAAUCCCUCGGCUUAACCGGGGAACUGCGUCUGAUACUGGAUGGCUUGAGUUCGGGAGAGGGAUGCGGAAUUCCAGGUGUAGCGGUGAAAUGCGUAGAUAUCUGGAGGAACACCGGUGGCGAAGGCGGCAUCCUGGACCGAGACUGACACUGAGGAGCGAAAGCCAGGGAAGCAAACGGG